AAAUUGAAGAGUUUGAUCAUGGCUCAGAUUGAACGCUGGCGGCAGGCCUAACACAUGCAAGUCGAACGGUAACAGGAAGCAGCUUGCUGCUUCGCUGACGAGUGGCGGACGGGUGAGUAAUGUCUGGGAAACUGCCUGAUGGAGGGGGAUAACUACUGGAAACGGUAGCUAAUACCGCAUAACGUCGAAAGACCAAAGAGGGGGACCUUCGGGCCUCUUGCCAUCGGAUGUGCCCAGAUGGGAUUAGCUUGUUGGUGGGGUAAUGGCUCACCAAGGCGACGAUCCCUAGCUGGUCUGAGAGGAUGACCAGCCACACUGGAACUGAGACACGGUCCAGACUCCUACGGGAGGCAGCAGUGGGGAAUAUUGCACAAUGGGCGCAAGCCUGAUGCAGCCAUGCCGCGUGUAUGAAGAAGGCCUUCGGGUUGUAAAGUACUUUCAGCGGGGAGGAAGGGAGUAAAGUUAAUACCUUU
Molecule: ribosomal RNA, 473 nt
Filed under: Escherichia coli
Lineage: Bacteria; Pseudomonadati; Pseudomonadota; Gammaproteobacteria; Enterobacterales; Enterobacteriaceae
Also listed under: 1 other name
Description: bacterial SSU rRNA
Rfam family: Bacterial small subunit ribosomal RNA
Source: RNAcentral